CAGCCGCGGUAAUUCCAGCUCCAAUAGCGUAUAUUAAAGUUGUUGCAGUUAAAAAGCUCGUAGUUGAACUUCGGGGUUUACCCAUUGGUCAGGCUUAAUUGUCUGUACUGGUGAGAUAAAUCUCUACCUUCUGAGGAACUUUCAUGUCAUUAAUUUGGUGUGAUUGGAAAUCAGGACUGUUACUUUGAAAAAAUUAGAGUGUUUAAAGCAGGCUAACGUCUGAAUACAUUAGCAUGGAAUAAUGAAAUAGGACGGAUUGAUUCUAUUUCGUUGGUUUCUAGGAUCACCGUAAUGAUUAAUAGGGAUAGUUGGGGGCAUUAGUAUUCAAUUGUCAGAGGUGAAAUUCUUGGAUUUAUUGAAGACUAACUACUGCGAAAGCAUUUGCCAAGGAUGUUUUCAUUAAUCAAGAACGAAAGUUAGGGAUCGAAGACGAUCAGAUACCGUCGUAGUCUUAACCAUAAACUAUGCCGACUAGGGAUCGGAUGAUGUUAAUUUAUAAUGACUCAUUCGGCACCUUACGGGAAAC
Molecule: ribosomal RNA, 526 nt
Filed under: uncultured Glomeromycotina
Lineage: Eukaryota; Fungi; Glomeromycota
Description: SSU rRNA
Rfam family: Eukaryotic small subunit ribosomal RNA
Source: RNAcentral